Molecule: transfer RNA, 528 nt
Filed under: Xanthomonas campestris pv. campestris
Lineage: Bacteria; Pseudomonadati; Pseudomonadota; Gammaproteobacteria; Lysobacterales; Lysobacteraceae
Description: partial contains 16S ribosomal RNA, 16S-23S ribosomal RNA intergenic spacer, and 23S ribosomal RNA
Rfam family: tRNA (bases 198-271)
Source: RNAcentral
CUCCUUUUGAGCAUGACGUUUAUUCGUCCUGUCGGGCGUCCUCACAAAUUACCUGCAUUCAGAGAUUCAUACCGGCACAGGUCGGUAUGCGAAGUCCCUUUUGGGGCCUUAGCUCAGCUGGGAGAGCACCUGCUUUGCAAGCAGGGGGUCGUCGGUUCGAUCCCGACAGGCUCCACCAUAUUGAGUGAAAAGACUUCGGGUCUGUAGCUCAGGUGGUUAGAGCGCACCCCUGAUAAGGGUGAGGUCGGUAGUUCGAGUCUACCCAGACCCACCACUCUGAAUGUAGUGCACACUUAAGAAUUUAUAUGGAUCAGCGUUGAGGCUGAGACAUGUUCUUUUAUAACUUGUGACGUAGCGAGCGUUUGAGAUAUCUAUCUAAACGUGUCGUUGAGGCUAAGGCGGGGACUUCGAGUCCCUAAAUAAUUGAGUCGUAUGUUCGCGUUGGUGGCUUUGUACCCCACACAACACGGCAUGUAGCUCCGAGGCAACUUGGGGUUAUAUGGUCAAGCGAAUAAGCGCACACGGUGG